RNAcentral lists this unclassified non-coding RNA (362 nucleotides) under uncultured Ascomycota. RNAcentral describes it as "sequence contains ITS2". The stretch from base 1 to 154 matches the Rfam family "5.8S ribosomal RNA". Lineage: Eukaryota; Fungi; Ascomycota. The record is from RNAcentral.
AACUUUCAACAACGGAUCACCUGGAUAUGGCAUCGAUGAAGAACGCAGCGAAAUGCGAUAAGUAGUGUGAAUUGCAGAAUUCAGUGAAUCAUCGAAUCUUUGAACGCACAUUGCACCUUCUGGUAUUCUGGGAGGUAUGCCUGUUCGAGCGUCAUUGCAACCAUCAAGCCUAGGCUUGGUUUUGGAUGCCACCGCUUGGUGCAUCUCAAAAUUAUUGGCGGUGCCAUUCAGCUUCAAGCGUAGUAAAUUUCUCGCUCCUGGAGUUUGUGUUGUACCCGCUAGAACCCCCAAAUUUAUCAAGGUUUGACCUCGGAUCAGGUAGGGAUACCCGCUGAACUUAAGCAUAUCAAUAAGCGGAGGCU